UUCACUUCAUGAGCAAUGAACUAAUAUUUCAUGUGCAGAAAGUCUCUAAAUAUUUUUUUAACAAUGGGGUUGACAAACAUUUGGCAUUUCAUCUUUAUAGUGAUUGUAACUCAACAAGGUAUCAGUGGGGAUGAGAUCAGAUUAGAUCAGUCACCUGCUGUAAUAAAGAGACCGCAGGAAACAGUGAAGAUCUCCUGUAAAAUAUCUGGCUUUGACAUGACAGAGCACUUAAUGCACUGGAUAAGACAGAAACCAGGGAAAGCUCUGGAGUGGAUUGGGGCAGUUGACUCUGGCAGUGAUGAUGUUUAUUAUGCAGACUCAAUGAAAGAUCACUUCACUUUAAGUGAGGACGUGUCUGCAAGUACACAGUAUCUUGAAGCCAAGAGUCUGAGAGAAGAGGACACUGCUGUUUAUUACUGUGCCCGAGAGACACAGUGACUAAAUGUCAUGAAGCAGCUCUACAAUA
Non-coding RNA from Misgurnus anguillicaudatus (oriental weatherfish), 466 nucleotides. The record is from the annotation of a RefSeq genome assembly. NCBI's taxonomy places the organism in Eukaryota, Metazoa, Chordata, Actinopteri, Cypriniformes, Cobitidae.